RNAcentral lists this ribosomal RNA (733 nucleotides) under uncultured eukaryote. RNAcentral's name for it is "SSU rRNA". It matches the Rfam family "Eukaryotic small subunit ribosomal RNA", at positions 557 to 1295 of the family's 1831-position model. The record is from RNAcentral.
UAGUCUGGUGCCAGCAGCCGCGGUAAUUCCAGCUCCAAUAGCGUAUAUUAAAGUUGUUGCAGUUAAAACGCUCGUAGUCGGAUUUCGGGGCAGGUUUGCCGGUCUGCCGAUGGGUAUGCACUGGUAGAACUGUCCUUCCUUCCGGAGACGGCGCCUACUCUUAACUGAGCGGGUGUCGGAGACGGAUCGUUUACUUUGAAAAAAUCAGAGUGUUUCAAGCAGGCAGCUCGCUUUUGCAUGGAUUAGCAUGGGAUAAUGAAAUAGGACUUUGGUGCUAUUUUGUUGGUUUCGAACACCGAAGUAAUGAUUAACAGGGACAGUCAGGGGCACUCGUAUUCCGCCGAGAGAGGUGAAAUUCUUAGACCAGCGGAAGACGAGCCACUGCGAAAGCAUUUGCCAGGGAUGUUUUCACUGAUCAAGAACGAAAGUUAGGGGAUCGAAGACGAUCAGAUACCGUCGUAGUCUUAACCAUAAACCAUGCCGACUAGGGAUUGGAGGAUGUUCCUAUGUGACUCCUUCAGCACCUUUCGGGAAACUAAAGUCUUUGGGUUCCGGGGGGAGUAUGGUCGCAAGGCUGAAACUUAAAGGAAUUGACGGAAGGGCACCACCAGGAGUGGAGCCUGCGGCUUAAUUUGACUCAACACGGGGAAACUUACCAGGUCCAGACAUUGUGAGGAUUGACAGAUUGAGAGCUCUUUCUUGAUUCGAUGGGUGGUGGUGCAUGGCCGUUCUU